Long non-coding RNA from Panicum virgatum (switchgrass), 643 nucleotides. RefSeq lists it as uncharacterized. The transcript is spliced from 2 exons. NCBI's taxonomy places the organism in Eukaryota, Viridiplantae, Streptophyta, Magnoliopsida, Poales, Poaceae. The record is from RefSeq and is a predicted model, not a curated record.
CCAUGUGCUGGCCCAACCGGCCGCGGCCCUCCGCUGGCCGCGCGGCCGUGCGCAGGCACAUGGAGCCCCGCCACUGCCGCCGCGGCCCUCCGCCUGCGUGCACGCACCGCCGGCCACGUGCCCUGCAGCAUGCUCUCCUUCGGGACUCCCGCAGUUGUGUACACGAUGUGGACAUGCUCAACAAUUAAGUACUUCGUCGUCCGGGACUCCCACAGCUGCGUCUUCAUCUUCUGGGCCGUAGGUGACAUGCUGCUCAAGCUGGGAAGCCGGUGCCUCCGGUUAGUCACAGGAGCACACGAGCCAUUAGCAUCACUCAUGGCACCUCUCAUGCACAGAUGCUCUUGAAGCUUCUCUCUGGUGAGUAUUUGCUAAUCAUUGAUGAGAACAAAAAUGAAUUAACCAGGAUCUUGACUUGCAUAUGCAUACAUAUACUUAUAUGCCUCUUGUCUGAUGCUGAUUGCUGUGAGAUUCAGCUAUAAGGCUACAAAACCAGUUUUACUCUCUUAAGAGAUGUGGCUGAAUGGCAGAGUGAGGAGGAAAAUUACUCUGUCUUGGACAUUAAGUUAAGUAAUAAUAUAUGUCUCACUUUGCUUUACCAAAUUCAUUGACCUAUUUAUUUUGUAAGUCAUAUUUGAAAACAACA